RNAcentral lists this ribosomal RNA (568 nucleotides) under Lactifluus sp. HMAS 276798. RNAcentral describes it as "partial 12S ribosomal RNA". It matches the Rfam family "Bacterial small subunit ribosomal RNA", at positions 346 to 969 of the family's 1533-position model. The record is from RNAcentral. Lineage: Eukaryota; Fungi; Basidiomycota; Agaricomycetes; Russulales; Russulaceae.
CUUCAGCAGUCCAGAAUAUUAGUCAAUGCUCGAAAGAGUGAACUAGCUAACUGAAAUCAAUUAAAUAAUUGAUAACAUAAGGGAAAAUAAUGAUAUUACCUUAUUAUUAGUGUCGUCCAAAUCUGGUGCCAGAAGACUCGGUAAGGCCAGAGACACAAACGUUAAUCGUCUUAAUCAGGCGUAAAGGGUUUGUAGGCUGCUUUUAAUAUAAUUAUUUAUUAAAUAAUUUAAAAAUAAAAGCUAGAAUCAAAAAUAGGAUAAAUUAAAGAACGUUUAUAGUAGGUCUGAUAUCCUAACAUAAUAAAUAGAAUAUUAAAGGCGAAGGCUUUUUUCCAUUUAAGAUUGACGCUAAGAAACGAAGGUGAGGAUAGGAAAUAGGAUUAGAUACCCAAAAUACCCCUCUCUGUAAACGAUGAAUGGUAGUAAUUAAAAUUAAAUAUUAAUUACAAUGUUAACACGAUAACCAUUCCGCCUUGUAAGUACGACUGCAAAGUUGAAAACAAAAAAAUUAGUCGGUUUCGGAGCAAACGAAGUGGAGCAUGUUAUUUAAUUCGAUAAUCCGCAAAAC